This 404-nucleotide ribosomal RNA is filed under the name Fusobacteriota bacterium. Its description in RNAcentral is "Fusobacteria bacterium partial 16S ribosomal RNA". It matches the Rfam family "Bacterial small subunit ribosomal RNA", at positions 355 to 776 of the family's 1533-position model. Lineage: Bacteria; Fusobacteriati; Fusobacteriota. The record is from RNAcentral.
UGGGGAAUAUUGCACAAUGGAGGGAACUCUGAUGCAGCGACGCCGCGUGAGUGAUGAAGGAAUUCGUUUCGUAAAACUCUGUUCUAUGGGAAGAAAAGGACUGUACCAUAGGAGAAAGCUCCGGCUAAAUACGUGCCAGCAGCCGCGGUAAUACGUAUGGAGCGAGCGUUGUCCGGAAAUAUUGGGCGUAAAGGGUGCGCAGGCGGCUUUACAAGUUGGAUGUGAAAUAUUGUGGCUCAACCACAAACGUGCAUCCAAAACUGCAAAGCUUGAGUUAAGGAGAGGUAAGUGGAAUUCCUGGUGUAGCGGUGGAAUGCGUAGAUAUCAGGAGGAAUACCGGUGGCGAAGGCGACUUACUGGACUUAAACUGACGCUCAGGCACGAAAGCGUGGGGAGCAAACAGG